Molecule: ribosomal RNA, 788 nt
Filed under: uncultured bacterium
Lineage: Bacteria
Description: bacterial SSU rRNA
Rfam family: Bacterial small subunit ribosomal RNA
Source: RNAcentral
AGAGUUUGAUCAUGGCUCAGAACGAACGCUGGCGGCGUGCUUAACACAUGCAAGUCGAGUGCGCGUACCGUAGCAAUACGGUAUGGCGCACGGCGCACGGGUGCGUAACACGUGGGCAAUCUGCCCUUCGAUGGGGAAUAUCUUCGGGAAACCGAAGCGAAUUCCGCAUAACAUUCCUUGGACUUCGGUUCGAGGACUCAAAGCCGUAAGGCGUCGAAGGAGGAGCCCGCGCCCGAUUAGCUAGUUGGUGAGGUAACGGCUCACCAAGGCAAUGAUCGGUAGCUGGUCUGAGAGGAUGGCCAGCCACACUGGAACUGAGACACGGUCCAGACUCCUACGGGAGGCAGCAGUGGGGAAUCUUGCGCAAUGGGCGAAAGCCUGACGCAGCGACGCCGCGUGGGGGAUGAAGCAUCUCGGUGUGUAAACCCCUUUCGACUGGGACGAAUGCCUCGCAAGAGGAGUGACGGUACCAGUAGAAGAAGCCCCGGCUAACUACGUGCCAGCAGCCGCGGUAAGACGUAGGGGGCCAGCGUUGUUCGGAAUUACUGGGUGUAAAGGGUUCGUAGGCGGUGUGGCAAGUCGGGAGUGAAAUCUAUGGGCUUAACCCAUAGGCUGCUUCCGAAACUGCUGUGCUUGAGUGUGGGAGAGGCGCGUGGAAUUGCAGGUGUAGCGGUGAAAUGCGUAGAUAUCUGCAGGAACACCCGUGGCGAAAGCGGCGCGCUGGACCACAACUGACGCUGAGGAACGAAAGCUAGGGGAGCAAACAGGAUUAGAUACCCUAGUAGUCC